GACGAACGCUGGCGGCGUGCCUAACACAUGCAAGUCGAACGGAAAGGCCCUGCUUUUGCGGGGUGCUCGAGUGGCGAAGGGGUGAGUAACACGUGAGUAUCCUGCCCUUGACUUUGGGAUAACUUCAGGAAACUGCGGCUAAUACAUGAGAGGAGCUCCUGCUGCAUGGUGGGGGUUGGAAAGUUUCGGCGGUUGUGGAUGUACGCGGGGCUUAUCAGCUUGUUGGUGGGGUAGCGGCUUACCAGGGCUUUGACGGGUAGCCGGCCUGAGAGGGUGACCGGCCACAUUGGGACUGAGGUACGGCCCAGACGCCUACGGGAGGCAGCAGGGGGGAAUAUUGCACAAUGGGCGGAAGCCUGAUGCAGCAACGCCGCGUGCGGGAUGACGGCCUUCGGGGUGUAAACCGCUUUCGCCUGUGACGAAGCGUGAGUGACGGUAAUGGGUAAAGAAGCACCGGCUAACUACGUG
Molecule: ribosomal RNA, 468 nt
Filed under: uncultured bacterium
Lineage: Bacteria
Description: partial 16S ribosomal RNA
Rfam family: Bacterial small subunit ribosomal RNA
Source: RNAcentral